CCUACGGGUGGCAGCAGUGGGGAAUAUUGGACAAUGGGCGAAAGCCUGAUCCAGCCAUGCCGCGUGUGUGAAGAAGGCCUUCGGGUUGUAAAGCACUUUCAGUGGGGAAGAAAGCCUUGGGGCUAAUACCCUCGAGGAAGGACAUCACCCACAGAAGAAGCACCGGCUAACUCCGUGUCAGCAGCCGCGGUAAUACGGAGGGUGCGAGCGUUAAUCGGAAUUACUGGGCGUAAAGCGCGCGUAGGCGGUCUGAUAAGCCGGUUGUGAAAGCCCCGGGCUCAAUCUGGGAACGGCAUCCGGAACUGUCAGGCUAGAGUGCAGGAGAGGAAGGUAGAAUUCCCGGUGUAGCGGUGAAAUGCGUAGAGAUCGGGAGGAAUACCAGUGGCGAAGGCGGCCUUCUGGACUGACACUGACGCUGAGGUGCGAAAGCGUGGGUAGCAAACAGGAUUAGAUACCCCGGUAGUC
Molecule: ribosomal RNA, 465 nt
Filed under: Vreelandella stevensii
Lineage: Bacteria; Pseudomonadati; Pseudomonadota; Gammaproteobacteria; Oceanospirillales; Halomonadaceae
Description: partial 16S ribosomal RNA
Rfam family: Bacterial small subunit ribosomal RNA
Source: RNAcentral